Felis catus (domestic cat) is the source of this 1095-nucleotide long non-coding RNA. RefSeq lists it as uncharacterized. The transcript has 2 exons. The record is from RefSeq and is a predicted model, not a curated record. Lineage: Eukaryota; Metazoa; Chordata; Mammalia; Carnivora; Felidae.
AGCCCUGGACAACACAUAAAUAAACGCGUGACUGUGCUCCAAGGAACCUUAUGGACAGACGUGGGCCGUGGGUGGGAUUCGGCCCGCGAGCUGUGGUUUGCAAACCCCCCCAUGUCUCAGCCGCCUGGCUACUCAAGGAGGCGCCGCGUUGUCUGGCCGAUGAGGAAGCCGAGGCUCACAGAGAGGCCAGGUGCCCAAGGUCAUGGGCCAGGAUUGCGCCAAGUUCAGAGCCUUGACCUCCAUGUCCUACGGGCAUCAAACGGACACAGGUCUCUCAGAAAUCCACACAGAUGCCACCUCGGUCUGUAUGGGAAGAACCCUCCCCCCCCCCCCCCGCCACCACAUCCCCAUCUCCGGCCAGGGGGGUGGCUUUUCCCGUCUGCCGGGGAGACGGUGCGGGGAAUCUGUCACUUGCCUUGCUCUCUAUCUGCCGGGGGCUUCUCUGCUGAGGGGAGGGGGUGCCACAGAAGCCCAGGGCUUGCCCUGUGUCUGGCACCUGCACCCCCCACUCCCCAGCUCCCUGUGUCCCCUCCCAUCUUCUCCAGCCCUCGGCCCCUCUCUCUGAGAACCGCAGACGCUCACUGAUCCAGACGCUUGAAAACGUGUGGUCAGAGCUGUGGACAAGGGAUCCACGGUGCGUCACGCCUUGUCCCCCACCGGCUGGGUGUGGGAUCCUCGAUUCAUUAUCAGACCUCCCCUGGGCACACACCAUGUGCCAGGCUCCGGGCCAGAAGCGGACGUGAACAAGAGGGCUCAGCGCUAAACCAGAAGGCGGGGGACCGAGGCCUGGCUGGGCGGAGAGGCCAACAUCUCAGACCCACGGGGAGCCAGACGAAGGAGGCUGUGGGUAGCAUGACUCAAGGAGAGCAUUCCUGCACCUCCUGGAAGAGGCGGCUGUGGCACGAGGCGACAUUCCAACAGGCAGCAGAGGGGGGAGACACCCUGCAGCAUUUGAAGGGCCUGGAAUGCCAAGAAGAAAAACCUGAAGGUCUUGGCAUGAGCCCGACACCAUGUGGGUCUGGGUCGGGGCCCUGCCUCUUGCAAGCUGGACGGCUUUGGGUCACAGUCAGCGCUCAAUAAAGAAUACUGCUGUUA